CCUACGGGAGGCAGCAGUGGGGAAUUUUGGACAAUGGGCGAAAGCCUGAUCCAGCAAUGCCGCGUGAGUGAAGAAGGCCUUCGGGUUGUAAAGCUCUUUUGUCAGGGAAGAAACGGUGAGGGCUAAUAUCCCUUGCUAAUGACGGUACCUGAAGAAUAAGCACCGGCUAACUACGUGCCAGCAGCCGCGGUAAUACGUAGGGUGCAAGCGUUAAUCGGAAUUACUGGGCGUAAAGCGUGCGCAGGCGGUUUUGUAAGUCUGUCGUGAAAUCCCCGGGCUCAACCUGGGAAUUGCGAUGGAGACUGCAAGGCUAGAAUCUGGCAGAGGGGGGUAGAAUUCCACGUGUAGCAGUGAAAUGCGUAGAGAUGUGGAGGAACACCGAUGGCGAAGGCAGCCCCCUGGGUCAAGAUUGACGCUCAUGCACGAAAGCGUGGGGAGCAAACAGGAUUAGAUACCCUGGUAGUCCACGCCCUAAACGAUGUCUACUAGUUGUCGGGUUUUAAUUAACUUGGUAACGCAGCUAACGCGUGAAGUAGACCGCCUGGGGAGUACGGUCGCAAGAUUAAAACUCAAAGAUAGUACGGCGCGAGAGAGCGACGACGACGACGACGGAGGAGGAGG
RNAcentral lists this ribosomal RNA (621 nucleotides) under uncultured bacterium. Its description in RNAcentral is "bacterial SSU rRNA". It matches the Rfam family "Bacterial small subunit ribosomal RNA", at positions 338 to 956 of the family's 1533-position model. The record is from RNAcentral.